CAACCUCUGCUGUGAGCGACAGCGUACGCUUACAUUUGCCUUGACCCUAAUGAACGACCCCGGGGACGUAACUUCAGGCAGGUGUGCAGGCCCGCCAUGAGCGGUAAGCCCGAAGCCUGACAAGCGUUCCCACCUGAUCCUCGGGAUCAAGGUCGUUUCGUACGCAUCGCCACGGUGGAGGCUGC
This 185-nucleotide non-coding RNA is filed under the name Lysobacterales bacterium. RNAcentral describes it as "6S RNA". It matches the Rfam family "6S / SsrS RNA". From Rfam's summary of the family: E. coli 6S RNA was the first non coding RNA to be sequenced, but its function was unknown until recently. It consists of 184 nucleotides that fold into an extended hairpin structure with a large single-stranded internal bulge. Lineage: Bacteria; Pseudomonadati; Pseudomonadota; Gammaproteobacteria; Lysobacterales. The record is from RNAcentral.